This 2786-nucleotide long non-coding RNA is filed under the name Manihot esculenta (cassava). RNAcentral describes it as "long non-coding RNA (MESC_LNC008124)". Lineage: Eukaryota; Viridiplantae; Streptophyta; Magnoliopsida; Malpighiales; Euphorbiaceae. The record is from RNAcentral.
CUCUUUGUAUCUUCCGGACAUUUUGCCUUUAAGCGCUUCCUGGGCUUUUUUCUCUCAAGCAUCUUCCGCACUGGUUGGACUUUUCUUUUAUUUUGUUCCUCAACUCGGCUUACCUGGUACCAAGGGUCAAUUUUUGAGGCCGACACCUGCCGCGGUUGGAUCUUCUUCAUUUAAUUCCUCAACUCGACUUAGUGAUGCCAGAGGUCUAUUUCCGAAACCGGCACCUGCCGUGGUUUGACUUCUUCAUUAGUUGAGCCUCAACUUGGCUUAGUGGUGCCAGGGUCUAUUUCCAAGGCCGGCACCUGCCGUGUUUGGGUUUCUUCAUUUGAUUCCCUCAAUUCGACUUAUUGGUGUCAGGGGGUCUAUUUCCGAGACUGGCACCUGCCAUGGUUGGGCUUCUUCAUUUCAUUCCUCAACUCGACUUAUUGGUGUCAGGGGUCUAUUUCUGAGGCCGGCACCUGCCGUGGUUGGGCUUUUUUCUUUGUUGGGUCCUCAAAUCGGCUUAGUGGUGUCAGAGUUCUAUUUUCAAGGCCGACACCUGCCACGGUUAGGAUCUUCACUUUCUCAACUCAGCUUAGUGGUGCCAGGGGUCUAUUUCCGAGCCCGGCACCUGUCGUGAUUGGGAUCUUCACUUCCUCAACUCGGCUUAGUGGUGCCAAGGGUCUAUUUCCAAGCUCGACACCUGUUGCGGUUAGGAUCUUCACUUCCUUAACUCAGCUUAGUGGUGCCAGGGGUCUAUUUUCGAGGCCGGCACCUACCGUGGUUGGGGUCUUCACUUCCUCAACUCGGCUUAGUGGUGCUAGGGGUCUAUUUUCGAGGCCUAUACCUGCUAUAGUUGGGGUCUUCACUUCUUCAACUCAGUUUAGUGGUGCCAGAAGUCUAUUUCCGAGGCUGGCAUCUGCUGUGGUUGGGGUCUCCAUUUCCUCAACUCGGCUUAUCUGGUGCCAGAGGUCUAUUUUCCGAGGCCGGAACCUACCGUAGUUAGGUUUUUCUUCAUUUUGUGGUCGUGGCUUCCAGGCUUAUUAGCCUUGCUCUUACUUUUAAAAUUUAUCUGCAAAAUAAAAGCUUGUACAAAGUAUAUGUAACGAGAAUGCUCAUUGUUGAUUGAAUAAUAUUGAUCAAAGAAUAUUGUGGCAUGCAAGAUACUUAAGUUCACAUUUCAAAUGAAUUCAGAUAUUAAUUUUGACCAACUACAUCAUCUCAUACGAUUCAAAGAAUCCAAUAAAUAAUGUUUCUCAUGCAUAAAUCAUUUCACAGUUUCCACAUCACAUAGCAACAUGCUUAAACAAAUAAUCCUUUUCUCAGUGUAUUCAUGCUAAUAUUAAUCACCGAUGGCUUUUUAAGCUACUUCAGUAUACUAUCAUGUUCAGGUUCAUAUACACAGGGCUUUCGUCUAAGAUUGUAAAUUUUAUAACUAGUUUAUGAUAGCAAAAAUACUUUGAGCUAAAAAGUAAUUGUACAAAUUAGGUAACUCGUACACGUCACCUCUCUUCCAUGAUUGGUGAAUCGCUCUUGUGUUGCUCUUCUUCUUAUAUCAACAUCUUCCUCUAUCUAAUUUUUGCUUUUAAAUGCAGUUGGUGAUUUUUGGGUCUUUCACCAUCUCUCUUCCCUUCGGUCUUUCUAGUUGUUUGGUUAUUAGUUUUUCUUGAUUUUCCAUGUAGAUCUCAAUGGAAACUCCGGCGGCAGAAUAGUCUCCUUUGUUCCCACAUACAACACUACUUGAUGAUGCGAGAUUCGGCGGGAUGGCCAGAUGCGUACUGUUACGUCCAUAAAGUUUGAAAAUGUGCAACACCAUACUGGGGAAGAUGUUGCCAUAAAGAUUGUUUGGGGAGUGCUCAGGCGGACCCUUGUGUGUGGGAUUACCAUUCCUGCAUACACUGGUCGGAAGUUGGAGCCGCUCCCCUGAUGAGCCCAAGGCAAGGCAAAACCAGUCAGCGUGACAAGACUCCUCAAUCGGCUAAACUUGGUAGGCUAUAACCUUGUAUGGGGCUAGUCAAGUGCUGCAUGGGUACAGUUCGUUAAAGGCGCCCAUGAUAAAUAGUACCAGAGUGAAGGUGGGCUUCCGCAUGGUACGCAUUGCCAACCCACCUAACGAUCCUGGAAGAAUAGAGGAGUGGAGGAGUUGUCUUUCCUAGCGUGGGUGACCCAGCAGAAUGACUAGGUGCGUAGUUGAGUUGAGCUUCCAAGGUGAAGGGGAGGAAGGAUUGAUGCUGCACACCGAGGUGCUAUAUCAGACUCACUGGUCAGGAAAGUGGUGUCCAAAUCAAAUUACGGGGCAAAAGUAUGAGUGAGGAUCGAGUUCCUUGGUUGCCUCAAGUAGGGGUGAGCAGUAUUCGGUUUAAACUGAAAAAACCGAUCAAACCAAAUUAAUUCGAAAAUUUGGUUCGAUUUUUUAUUCAUUUCAUUUCGGUUCGGUUUUUAAUUUAAAAAUUUUCGGUUCAGUUUUGAUUAGAAAAAAAUAAAAAAAAUUGAACCGAAUCGAUUUGUGAUAAUAGUAUAUUAUUUUUAAUGAUAUAGAGAUAUUAGAUCAUAAUCAAAAUUAAAAUAUUUCAAUUAAAUUGUAAAAUACUAAAAAUAAGGUGUAAAUAGUAAAACUUUUAUUAAAAAUUCAAACCAAACCGAAUCGAAUCAGACCGGUUCGAUUCUAUUCGGUUCCGACCUGUUCGAUUUUCAUAAAUACCAAGGUGAAGGGGAGUAAGGAUUGAUGUUGUGCGCACCGGUGCUAUAUCGGACUCACUGGUCAGGAAAGUGGUGUCCAGAGCAAGUUGCUGGGCAAAAGUAUGAGU